GACGAACGCUGGCGGCGUGCUUAACACAUGCAAGUCGAACGGAAAGGCCCUGCUUUUGUGGGGUGCUCGAGUGGCGAACGGGUGAGUAACACGUGAGUAACCUGCCCUUGACUUUGGGAUAACUUCAGGAAACUGGGGCUAAUACCGGAUAGGAGCUCCUGCUGCAUGGUGGGGGUUGGAAAGUUUCGGCGGUUGGGGAUGGACUCGCGGCUUAUCAGCUUGUUGGUGGGGUAGUGGCUUACCAAGGCUUUGACGGGUAGCCGGCCUGAGAGGGUGACCGGCCACAUUGGGACUGAGAUACGGCCCAGACUCCAACGGGAGGCAGCAGUGGGGAAUAUUGCACAAUGGGCGGAAGCCUGAUGCAGCAACGCCGCGUGCGGAAUGACGGCCUUCGGGUUGUAAACCGCUUUCGCCUGUGACGAAGCGUGAGUGACGGUAAUGGGUAAAGAAGCACCGGCUAACUACGUG
Molecule: ribosomal RNA, 468 nt
Filed under: uncultured bacterium
Lineage: Bacteria
Description: partial 16S ribosomal RNA
Rfam family: Bacterial small subunit ribosomal RNA
Source: RNAcentral